AACAAAUAUUUAAGUAUAGUCUAUUAGUUUAAAUAACAAGAACAAGAACAAAAAUUAACAAAUUUUUUGCUCUUAUCUGCGCUACCCAAAAGUCUAACUAUAGAUGGGAUAUGCCUAGAUGAUGUAAACACAUAUUAUCUAUGGGUUGAAACUUUAGUACCUAACUAAAAGAGAACUUAGCAGCUAAAACUACUGUUUAACUAUUGAGAAAAGACAAUCUACUGUAAGCUGUAUAUAUAUAUACAUCUGUAUAUAUAUAUACAUGUAUAUAUGUAUAUGAGACACUUCAGCUACCGAAAGGAAUACCAAAAUGAAGAUAAUGCUAAAUAAUAUUACUUAAAAUUUAAUUGCAAUUCGAUCAUUUUGUGUAGCGCUACCUAAGCUAAGCUUUUGUGCCUCUCUUUCUUUCUAGACGCUUAAAUAAUUCGAAAAACUCUGAGAUUUUACGAGUUUAAAAGCAAAAUACAUACAUAGAGCAAAUAUUGAUAUUCUAAUAAAAAUACAUAGUUAUAUGUGAAGAGAAAAUCGUCUAGAAAUUUAUCAUAAAACAACUCAUUAGCCAAGCUAUGUGCUAAAUUCUAGGGCACAAAAACUAAAAACAAA
Long non-coding RNA from Drosophila arizonae, 603 nucleotides. The record is from RefSeq and is a predicted model, not a curated record. Lineage: Eukaryota; Metazoa; Arthropoda; Insecta; Diptera; Drosophilidae.